UCAGGUCAAAGGGGCUGAAAUGUGAGACGUACAGCACAGGACAGGAGAGAGUAGACCAAACAGUGAGUCAAAGAAAUCCAAAGUGGAAAAAAAGAAAAAAGAAAAAAGCAAACAAAAAACAUUGAAUGGAAACCCAUCACAUCAGAUCUCAGAGAAACAUUACCUGGAGAAGUUGAGAAAAUACUGCUUCUUGAUUUGAAAAGGAAAGAUUUCUCAGUGGAAAAUACAGCAAAUACUUAAGAUGCUAGAAGACCAAAGUUUCUAGGAAACAGAAGCUUGCUUUCAUAUAGAACCCAAGAGCCCAGGGACAGCACUAUCCACAAUGGGCUGCGUCCUCUCCCCUUGAUCACUAAUUGAGAAAACGCCUUACAGCUGGUUUUCAUGAAGGCAUUUCUACAACUGAGGCUCCUUUUUCUGUGAUAACUCCAGCUUGUAUCAAGUUGACACACAAAACCGGCCAGUACAGGGGGUCACAGGUGAUCAGUGGUGAACAUUCAUGUGAUGUGAUGUCUGCACAGCACAGAUGGCCCACUCUCAGGGUAACGUUAUGUUUGAAGAUGUAAACCCAUUUAACUGAUUAGAAAAUGAUGUCUGGCUAAAGGAAAAAGGAAGAAAACAACAAUGAAGAAGAAGAAGAAGAAGA
This is a non-coding RNA of Rattus norvegicus (Norway rat), 643 nucleotides long. Lineage: Eukaryota; Metazoa; Chordata; Mammalia; Rodentia; Muridae. The record is from RefSeq and is a predicted model, not a curated record.